RNAcentral lists this transfer RNA (84 nucleotides) under Drosophila yakuba. Its description in RNAcentral is "tRNA-Leu (TAA) (tRNA-Leu-TAA-4-1)". It matches the Rfam family "tRNA". Rfam says of the family: Transfer RNA (tRNA) molecules are approximately 80 nucleotides in length. The record is from RNAcentral. Lineage: Eukaryota; Metazoa; Arthropoda; Insecta; Diptera; Drosophilidae.
GCCAGGUUGGCCGAGCGGUCUAAGGCGCCAGAUUUAAGCCCUGGUUCUCGUGAGAGAGCGUGGGUUCGAACCCCACACCUGGCA